GCCAUUACAAAGCCCAUCUUGAAUACAUCAGGAAGGUCUACAUACCCAGCUCCAUAGUAUACAGCAGCCUGACCACUGCUGUAGUGUGUAAGAGCACCAAAAAGAUUUGUAUUGUAAGCUAAAGCCAGUGCUGCCAACACACCAGGCACUCCAGCUGCCAAGUGCAUGGCAAGAAAUGCAGAGUACAGAGCUCCCACAUGACCGGUUUGACUGGCAAAUAGAUAGUGAAUGAAGAAGUAAGAUGCCUGAAGAACAACAAAUGCAGCUGGCCAGCUCAAAGAGAGAGAUUGAAGGAUCUUGGCCACACAACCAGACAUCCAGGCUACAAUACCAAGGUUUGUCAGUUGCCCUGCCAUGCCCACCAGAACAGCAAACCAAGCCAAGGUAUCCCA
Molecule: unclassified non-coding RNA, 392 nt
Filed under: Hevea brasiliensis (rubber tree)
Lineage: Eukaryota; Viridiplantae; Streptophyta; Magnoliopsida; Malpighiales; Euphorbiaceae
Source: RNAcentral